GAGUUUGAUCCUGGCUCAGGAUGAACGCUGGCGGCGUGCUUAACACAUGCAAGUCGAACGAAGCACUUCAGGAGCGAUUUCGGUCAAUCCUGAUUUGACUGAGUGGCGGACGGGUGAGUAACGCGUGAGGAACCUGCCUCGCAGUGGGGAAUAACAGCUGGAAACGGCUGCUAAUACCGCAUAAUGCAGAGAGACCGCAUGAUUUUUCUGCCAAAGAUUUAUCGCUGUGAGAUGGCCUCGCGUCUGAUUAGCUAGUUGGUGAGGUAACGGCCCACCAAGGCGACGAUCAGUAGCCGGACUGAGAGGUUGAUCGGCCACAUUGGGACUGAGACACGGCCCAGACUCCUACGGGAGGCAGCAGUGGGGAAUAUUGGGCAAUGGGCGCAAGCCUGACCCAGCAACGCCGCGUGAAGGAAGAAGGCUUUCGGGUUGUAAACUUCUUUUAUCAGGGACGAUAAUGACGGUACCUGAUGAAUAAGCUCCGGCUAACUACGUGCCAGCCGCCGCGGUAAUUC
Molecule: ribosomal RNA, 515 nt
Filed under: uncultured bacterium
Lineage: Bacteria
Description: bacterial SSU rRNA
Rfam family: Bacterial small subunit ribosomal RNA
Source: RNAcentral